ACCAACAGUACUUCAUAGAAUCUCUAUUUAGUCGUCGUUCCUCUCUUGGUUUUCCACGAAAGCCACAGAUCCCAACCCUGAUGCUGAUCUUUAUCCCCGACAACCUAGAGUGAAGACGUUUACUCUUGCCCUGCCUGCAAAGGUGGCGGUCUUGGCUCUGCCUUGGCUGUAUAAAGAGUGUUGAUGAUCUCAAUCCUGCAUUCGAGUUAGCUUUUUGCGCUUGACGCGGGAUGGUUGUUGGUGGAAGUCUGAAGGGC
RNAcentral lists this small nucleolar RNA (257 nucleotides) under Coniochaeta ligniaria NRRL 30616. Its description in RNAcentral is "Fungal small nucleolar RNA U3". It matches the Rfam family "Fungal small nucleolar RNA U3". Rfam says of the family: Small nucleolar RNAs (snoRNAs) are involved in the processing and modification of rRNA in the nucleolus. There are two main classes of snoRNAs: the box C/D class, and the box H/ACA class. U3 snoRNA is a member of the box C/D class. The record is from Rfam by way of RNAcentral. Lineage: Eukaryota; Fungi; Ascomycota; Sordariomycetes; Coniochaetales; Coniochaetaceae.